CCUACGGGUGGCAGCAGUGGGGAAUAUUGGACAAUGGGCGAAAGCCUGAUCCAGCCAUGCCGCGUGUGUGAAGAAGGCCUUCGGGUUGUAAAGCACUUUCAGUGGGGAAGAAAGCCUUGGGGCUAAUACCCUCGAGGAAGGACAUCACCCACAGAAGAAGCACCGGCUAACUCCGUGCCAGCAGCCGUGGUAAUACGGAGGGUGCGAGCGUUAAUCGGAAUUACUGGGCGUAAAGCGCGCGUAGGCGGUCUGAUAAGCCGGUUGUGAAAGCCCCGGGCUCAACCUGGGAACGGCAUCCGGAACUGUCAGGCUAGAGUGCAGGAGAGGAAGGUAGAAUUCCCGGUGUAGCGGUGAAAUGCGUAGAGAUCGGGAGGAAUACCAGUGGCGAAGGCGGCCUUCUGGACUGACACUGACGCUGAGGUGCGAAAGCGUGGGUAGCAAACAGGAUUAGAUACCCCAGUAGUC
RNAcentral lists this ribosomal RNA (465 nucleotides) under Vreelandella stevensii. RNAcentral describes it as "partial 16S ribosomal RNA". It matches the Rfam family "Bacterial small subunit ribosomal RNA", at positions 338 to 795 of the family's 1533-position model. Lineage: Bacteria; Pseudomonadati; Pseudomonadota; Gammaproteobacteria; Oceanospirillales; Halomonadaceae. The record is from RNAcentral.